UUAAUUGAAACCAAAAAGAGGGUAUACCACUGUUAAUGGUAUUAUUGAAUCAAUAAUUCCAAUUAAA
This 67-nucleotide transfer RNA is filed under the name Appias remedios. Its description in RNAcentral is "tRNA-Asn". Lineage: Eukaryota; Metazoa; Arthropoda; Insecta; Lepidoptera; Pieridae. The record is from RNAcentral.